This is a long non-coding RNA of Leopardus geoffroyi (Geoffroy's cat), 136 nucleotides long. RefSeq lists it as uncharacterized. Lineage: Eukaryota; Metazoa; Chordata; Mammalia; Carnivora; Felidae. The transcript has 3 exons. The record is from RefSeq and is a predicted model, not a curated record.
GGCUGAAAGGGACAGAAAAGGGACAGAAGGAAGAAGCAUGGCUCUGAGGGCAGAGCGGUGGCUACCGAGGCCAGAGACGGGCCAGGCCCAGAGGGUAGGACCGCACCCCCCAGCUCCAGAGGGUGCGCCUGCACCC